Molecule: long non-coding RNA, 217 nt
Organism: Nothoprocta perdicaria
Lineage: Eukaryota; Metazoa; Chordata; Aves; Tinamiformes; Tinamidae
Exons: 3
Source: RefSeq, a predicted model, not a curated record
GGAUCAGCCUGGCUGUCCGAGGAGCUGAGCUGUGCAUCCCCCAACCCGUUACACAAAGAUAAACAACGUGCGUGACCGUGGAAUGAGAGGUUAAGAAUAUAAUGAAUUCAAAUACAAAGGAAAGGACAAUCUGAUCUCUGCAUGACACUUAGCUUGCAAGGUGCCUCCUGUGCCUGGACACCAUGGCAAGGGAAUGCCAGGAUUUUGAGCAGCUAAA